Long non-coding RNA from Canis lupus familiaris (dog), 2185 nucleotides. RefSeq lists it as uncharacterized. NCBI's taxonomy places the organism in Eukaryota, Metazoa, Chordata, Mammalia, Carnivora, Canidae. The record is from RefSeq and is a predicted model, not a curated record. The transcript has 3 exons.
GACACGCCUGGUUCCCAGCAGUUCUAGUAUCAGCCUCUCACACCUCCGUGUGAUUUAAAUCAGCACAGCGCCGCCCUGAGAGCAAAACCACAGGGGCCUCUCCUUUAUCUGAGGACCAACCUUGAUGGACCAACCUUGAGGUCCUUGAUGAAGGGAUUUCAGGAAUGGGAACAUCCCUGGGGUGACCUUGCACACUCUGGUGUAUUUGCAGAGCAAAGACAGUGAACCCCUCACAGCUACACUGAACAAUACGGAUGAACAAGCAAACCAGACACGGACAGUCCACGCCGUGACUUCAUCUACACAAGUUCAAACCAGAAAAAUGGAUCUAUGUUACCGAACGCAAGGCCAAGAUGACCCCUGAGGGGGGACCCAUCCUGCCUCAACAGCGGAAAAAGUCACAUCAGGUUUGCGUUUUCAGGAAAACUAAAACGAGCGAAACUUAAAAGCACAUCAUGACUUCGUAAGAACACCCGCAGUGGCCCGGGUCGGCCGGACGCCCAUCGUCACAUUGUGAGCACGCGUGGAGGCUGUCCGGGCAUUGAGGACACGCCACGCCAACGGGAGGCUUUACAUCAAAGCCACCGUCUAAAACUAAUUCAUUUCACUGUAACUAUUUGGGACAUACAAUCACCCAAAAUGGUUCCAGAGCUCUCAGAACAACCGAGAAACAUAAAAGGUGUUAAAAACAUCUGUAGGCUAAGUCGCCAGUCACACAGGGAAGGCUCUUUCUCCCGGCAAGCACGUGGGAACAGUGAAAAGGAAAUCAAAGCGAAUCUUCUCUGAAACACUUCUCUGUAUCCCUUAGCCUUGCUGGCUCCCACUCAGAAGCCACCCACCUUUCCUUAAAAGAGAAGAUUCUUUCUGAUUUUUUUUUUUUUUUUCCAGAGGAAGGUGGAACUCUGUGUGCUUUACCACCCACCGCCCCAGACAGGAGCUAAAGUAGGAAAAAUACUCAGGUUCACAAGAGCACUUCAGCUGCGCCCCGCAGAGACAAUCACGUCCAGCGUCCUUGGAAUCCUGGGGGGCCCAGAGCAUCGUCAGGAUUGUGGCCCAAGUUAUAACUCGUGGAGCGUCAGCUGGACGCAAAAGGGGCCACAGCAGGAAGGGAGAGAAAUGAAGGCCCCACUGAGGCCAAGGGGCAGGGGUGAGUCUCUGAGCCUCCACGCAACAGGAAGAAAGCAUGUCUGGAGUCAGAGGACCUCUGAGCUGGGGACUCUGGAGAGCGAGAGGAGACAUGUGGGUCAUGGAAGCAGAAUGAGAAGAAGGCCAGUGAGAGGAAAAGAGUAGAUGCUGAGCACAAAACUCAGCUCUGAGCUUCCUGGCAGCCAAAGCAAAAAGGGAGCUUGAUGAACUCUUGUCGAAGAGAAGGUGGACAGGCCACCCCUGUAAGUAGGUAUGGGAUUGUGAGCCAGAAGGAAUGCUCUGGAAUGAGGAUGGCGGCCGACCUGGCAUUGUCCGCAGCCCAAGAGCCCUGCCAACCCUGGUGUGUUAAUCGGUCAUACAAAUAUUAGGUAUUGGCAUUAGGUUAAAUCACUGAAAAGUCACACACGUGAACAUAAUUACUUUACAGCCCUAGCCCUUAAAAUGCUAUGCUCCCCCCACUCCCCCGCCCCGUACUGACCAUGGGGUGAUGGAAGAAGCGGCCGCUGGUGGCCACAGCCCUAGUCUGCAUGGGGCAGUCCUGGUUUAUGCCCGUGUUGCUAUCAUUACAAGUAGGGCCUCUUUCACACUCAGAAACUUCCCAGUCCUAUGCUACGUUCCAUAGCUGUGCUGAAUGGGUGCCACCGACCCCGUCCCACCAGCCUGUCUGUCCCUCUGUCCUCCCUGGCCGAUGUACCCUCUAAGGCAUCACCUUGAGGCUUUCCGAGGUCGCUUAUAGGAAAGCCUGACUGAUUUCUUCUCGAGUCCUGUCCAAGGGAGGAGUGAGGCCCCUGCUAAGUCACGAUGCCUCUUGUACCAGCAAGAGUGUCACCUUCCCUUCUCACUGUGUGUGCCAGAAAGCUCAGAAAUAAGGUUUUGUAGUAGCUUUCAUUAAUGGCUGGGCUAUGUGCCCUUUCUUGAACAGCUCCUGGACUUUGGUGAUUGUUUCGGCGGUGUACCCAUUUCAGCCGCUCUUUCUCGAGAAGCUGACUUCCGGGCCUCCCUGAGUGUGGGCCGGUCAGGAAUGCACAGUGAACGUAGU